UAGUAAUGGUGGGAUUUUAACCGACAUUUUUGGGGCAUGAGCCCAAGAGCUUUGUUAGCUGACUUUACU
This 69-nucleotide transfer RNA is filed under the name Spinomantis microtis. Its description in RNAcentral is "tRNA-Met". Lineage: Eukaryota; Metazoa; Chordata; Amphibia; Anura; Mantellidae. The record is from RNAcentral.